AUUGAACGCUGGCGGCAGGCCUAACACAUGCAAGUCGAACGGUAACAGGAAGAAGCUUGCUUCUUUGCUGACGAGUGGCGGACGGGUGAGUAAUGUCUGGGAAACUGCCUGAUGGAGGGGGAUAACUACUGGAAACGGUAGCUAAUACCGCAUAACGUCGCAAGACCAAAGAGGGGGACCUUCGGGCCUCUUGCCAUCGGAUGUGCCCAGAUGGGAUUAGCUAGUAGGUGGGGUAACGGCUCACCUAGGCGACGAUCCCUAGCUGGUCUGAGAGGAUGACCAGCCACACUGGAACUGAGACACGGUCCAGACUCCUACGGGAGGCAGCAGUGGGGAAUAUUGCACAAUGGGCGCAAGCCUGAUGCAGCCAUGCCGCGUGUAUGAAGAAGGCCGUCGGGUUGUAAAGUACUUUCAGCGGGGAGGAAGGGAGUAAAGUUAAUACCUUUGCUCAUUGACGUUACCCGCAGAAGAAGCACCGGCUAACUCCG
RNAcentral lists this ribosomal RNA (488 nucleotides) under uncultured bacterium. Its description in RNAcentral is "partial 16S ribosomal RNA". It matches the Rfam family "Bacterial small subunit ribosomal RNA", at positions 30 to 505 of the family's 1533-position model. The record is from RNAcentral.